UACGUAGGGUGCGAGCGUUGUCCGGAAUUACUGGGCGUAAAGAGCUCGUAGGUGGUUUGUCGCGUUGUUCGUGAAAACUCACAGCUCAACUGUGGGCGUGCGGGCGAUACGGGCAGACUGGAGUACUGCAGGGGAGACUGGAAUUCCUGGUGUAGCGGUGAAAUGCGCAGAUAUCAGGAGGAACACCGGUGGCGAAGGCGGGUCUCUGGGCAACAACUGACGCUGAGGAGCGAAAGCGUGGGGAGCGAACAGG
Molecule: ribosomal RNA, 253 nt
Filed under: uncultured bacterium
Lineage: Bacteria
Description: partial 16S ribosomal RNA
Rfam family: Bacterial small subunit ribosomal RNA
Source: RNAcentral